RNAcentral lists this ribosomal RNA (756 nucleotides) under Escherichia coli. RNAcentral describes it as "partial 23S ribosomal RNA". It matches the Rfam family "Bacterial large subunit ribosomal RNA", at positions 426 to 1183 of the family's 2925-position model. The record is from RNAcentral. Lineage: Bacteria; Pseudomonadati; Pseudomonadota; Gammaproteobacteria; Enterobacterales; Enterobacteriaceae.
GUGGUAUCCUGUCUGAAUAUGGGGGGACCAUCCUCCAAGGCUAAAUACUCCUGACUGACCGAUAGUGAACCAGUACCGUGAGGGAAAGGCGAAAAGAACCCCGGCGAGGGGAGUGAAAAAGAACCUGAAACCGUGUACGUACAAGCAGUGGGAGCCUCUUAAUGGGGUGACUGCGUACCUUUUGUAUAAUGGGUCAGCGACUUAUAUUCUGUAGCAAGGUUAACCGAAUAGGGGAGCCGAAGGGAAACCGAGUCUUAACUGGGCGUUAAGUUGCAGGGUAUAGACCCGAAACCCGGUGAUCUAGCCAUGGGCAGGUUGAAGGUUGGGUAACACUAACUGGAGGACCGAACCGACUAAUGUUGAAAAAUUAGCGGAUGACUUGUGGCUGGGGGUGAAAGGCCAAUCAAACCGGGAGAUAGCUGGUUCUCCCCGAAAGCUAUUUAGGUAGCGCCUCGUGAAUUCAUCUCCGGGGGUAGAGCACUGUUUCGGCAAGGGGGUCAUCCCGACUUACCAACCCGAUGCAAACUGCGAAUACCGGAGAAUGUUAUCACGGGAGACACACGGCGGGUGCUAACGUCCGUCGUGAAGAGGGAAACAACCCAGACCGCCAGCUAAGGUCCCAAAGUCAUGGUUAAGUGGGAAACGAUGUGGGAAGGCCCAGACAGCCAGGAUGUUGGCUUAGAAGCAGCCAUCAUUUAAAGAAAGCGUAAUAGCUCACUGGUCGAGUCGGCCUGCGCGGAAGAUGUAACGGGGCUA